Molecule: ribosomal RNA, 254 nt
Filed under: uncultured bacterium
Lineage: Bacteria
Description: partial 16S ribosomal RNA
Rfam family: Bacterial small subunit ribosomal RNA
Source: RNAcentral
UACAGAGGUCUCAAGCGUUGUUCGGAUUCAUUGGGCGUAAAGGGUGCGUAGGUGGCGGGGUAAGUCAGGUGUGAAAUCUCGGAGCUCAACUCCGAAACUGCACUUGAUACUGCCUUGCUCGAGUACUGGAGAGGAGAUUGGAAAUUUACGGUGUAGCAGUGAAAUGCGUAGAUAUCGUAAGGAAGACCAGUGGCGAAGGCGAAUCUCUGGACAGUUACUGACACUGAGGCACGAAGGCCAGGGGAGCAAACGGG